RNAcentral lists this ribosomal RNA (274 nucleotides) under uncultured bacterium. RNAcentral's name for it is "partial 16S ribosomal RNA". It matches the Rfam family "Bacterial small subunit ribosomal RNA", at positions 523 to 796 of the family's 1533-position model. The record is from RNAcentral.
AUACGGAGGGUGCAAGCGUUGUCCGGAUUUAUUGGGUUUAAAGGGUGCGUAGGCGGUGCGCUAAGUCAGUGGUGAAAUCCCGCAGCUCAACUGCGGAACUGCCAUUGAUACUGGCGCACUUGAGUACGGACGAGGUAGGCGGAAUUUAUGGUGUAGCGGUGAAAUGCAUAGAUACCAUAAAGAACACCGAUAGCGAAGGCAGCUUACUAGACCGUAACUGACGCUCAGGCACGAAAGCGUGGGGAGCGAACAGGAUUAGAAACCCCGGUAGUCC